Molecule: long non-coding RNA, 832 nt
Organism: Agrilus planipennis (emerald ash borer)
Lineage: Eukaryota; Metazoa; Arthropoda; Insecta; Coleoptera; Buprestidae
Exons: 3
Source: RefSeq, a predicted model, not a curated record
UCUACGUGAAAUAAAUCCUAAGCAUGUACAAGUAACUACUUCUUUUAUGGCAACAAAAGAAUUAAAUAUUUAUCUAUCAUCCAAAGUUUAAGUUAUAUUAUAAAAUGUCUGAUAAUAUUUACAAAUAAACGCUAAGAGAUUGUUUAAUAGCUUAUUAACCCAUCCUUAAUUGUAAGUUACCCGACUGACAAUAAGCAUCCCUUUGGAUUUAUAAACUAAAAAAGGUUUACAUCCAUGUUUCUCUCACAGUGGGCAAUUCGAAAAUAGACUCGAAUAUAAAGUAUUAUCCUAACAAGAUCUCGUCGACUUGCAAACGAUAAGUCCAUUAAAAUUUCAAUUAAUAUAGAAGGAGUCAUGACAUGAUUUUGUGAGAAAAUGGAAGCAAUAUAUCCAGAUUCAACUAUCCACCGUCGCUUCGUCCGCUUUUGGGGAGUCUGUCGGUGGUAAGCGGAGCGUCGAGAAGUAUAGGGCGGGAGAUCCCACAAUUGGACAAUAAAUAAGCAAAUACUGUUGACGCUGUAUCACUAAUUGCCUACAGACGAUAAUGCCAAAAUUACUCACCGUGUUCAACCAAACUACAGGCUUUUGUUGAGUCACUUCUUCUCUGCAACAAAUUAAAGUAAUACCAUAUGAAACAAAGCAAUAAAAAGGAUUUUAACUUUAUCAUUUGCAAACAAACUUAUAUAACUAUUGUGAAUAUUCAUUACACGUACAACGUACGUACCUAUAUAUCUUCAGAAACAAUAAAUUAUUAUUUGUAAUAGAAAACAAAGAUUGUGAGGUAUAAUUUUUAUUGAUUAAUACAAACUCUCAAAGUUUUACACAAUUAAAA